Molecule: microRNA precursor, 76 nt
Filed under: Tetraodon nigroviridis (spotted green pufferfish)
Lineage: Eukaryota; Metazoa; Chordata; Actinopteri; Tetraodontiformes; Tetraodontidae
Description: miRNA (ENSTNIG00000020084.1)
Source: RNAcentral
CCUACACGGGGGACAGCUGCGGGCCCGCGGUGGCCAGCGGCAGCCAGUACCUGCACUUUGGCAACGCGGAGCAGAG